UUACUGUCGCUUCGUCUUCUCAGUUUGGUUUGUGGUGUCAGGAAAUCUAGGGGAUCCUGUACACCUACCUCUCUGAGGUCUUGCGCAAGAUUCAGGCUCUGUGGCCUUACUGUCGCUUCGUCUUCUCAGUUUGGUUUGUGGUGUCAGGAAAUCUAGGGGAUCCUGUACACCUACCUCUCUGAGGUCUUGCGCAAGAUUCAGGCUCAUUGGCCUUACUCUUUUUUCUGAAAAAUAAGAACUUGCACAGAACACAUAUAACGAGGAUGCUCGUUGUUAAUUCAAUGAUAUUCAUCAAUCAAUAAUAUGUCGCACAUGUCACUUAAUUUCAUACUUCAGAUGAACAAAUGCAAGUAUUAACUCUUACAACGUUAACCCCUGCAGUUUUAGAGAUGCAAUAAACAAUAUUUUGCAUGUGUAAAUUUUCUCCAGGAUUUUUCAAUCUAUAGAACAUAGGCAGUUAUCAAGAUAUUUAAACUCAUAGAGAUAUAUUUUGAUUAAACUUAAUCUUACUAUUUACAUGCGAAGCCUGCCUCUUAAUAUUCUACGAAAUCAUUUGUAUUCAAUAAUAUUUACUUAAAAAUAACUGCCAAUAAUUAAAGGCAUUCUUGAAAUUCUGAAGCAAGAUAAUAAAUAUACACAGCAAAGUACGAUUUUAGUAACUGUAGCAUAAAUUUUUCAACAAUAAUUAUGCUAAUGACACGUGGCAAGUUAUGUGUACCUUAUUUCAAUAGUCAAUUGGCGUGAUUAUCCCUCAUCCUUCAGUGAAGGAUGUAAUACAAAAUUCUGAGAGCCUCCGCUGAACUAUGGGCUUACCCAUGAACGGAAGAAAUUUCAUAAUGUGCAGUUGACACUGUACAUUGUUGAUCUGCAACUUGAGAUUUUUUCCACCAGCCAUCAACUUCUUGAGUACUAAAUCUUCCUUUACCACGAUGAUUAGCUCUACUGUGCAGGCCCUGAGUGGGCCUUCUGGGGGUUGUUGUUCCACUUACUAUUGUUGAUUCAAGAUUCCUAUCUCCAACAAAAAAAAGCAGUCUUCCUGUGGGGCAGAGUUGAUAAUUCCACCAACACAAGUCUUUUCAUGAGAUGAAGUCUCAGUGCUUGCCUCAUUUGUAGAAUGACCAGCAAAGUCAUUAUCAGCUUGCAAUUUAUUAUUUUGUUCCUUCCCACUAGAGAUAGGUUUCACUUUUGUGGGCCCCCACUUUAAGGUGACUUCACUUUUGGGGGGACAACUUUUUGAUUGUCAACAGCCCCAGAAAAAGCUUCUUCAACAGGUGCGAUUCUCCUUCCUCAUCUCCUUUUCCUUUCUCUGUUUAGUUCCCGAGAGCAUUAAACUGCCUCCCAAAUACUUGCUGGUGUUGUUUCUUGUAGUGGUGUUACUCACUACUCACUCUCUUACCCAAUACAAGCCACCAAUUAACAAGCCUCCUCCUGCAGAGAGAUACGCCCCAUUUGACCCAACAGACAAACACCACGGACUCCCAAAGAAGUGGCCACCCAGUUCGAUUGAUGGAUCGAUAAGAGCUGGUGAUCAUCAAGAGAAGGCAUUCCCUGACAAAGACAAGCCAUGAAAACGCAAGGGAGUGACGUCACCACACAAGCCUGGAAAUCUGAGGUGAAACAGAGCCACACAGAUUCGAUUCUGUCAAUUCCAAUGAAACAAUAUGCCCUUGGGAGCAACGGACUCCAACCCAUGAACAAAUUGAUCUUGGAUUUGAGGAAUUCCACGUUGUCGACUUGGCUGACUUGCUCAGUCAGGCCAUCGUACUCCGCUAAAUUCAAGUUUGAAAAUUGCAUGUCUUCAAGCUGGCCAACAU
RNAcentral lists this long non-coding RNA (1814 nucleotides) under Manihot esculenta (cassava). Its description in RNAcentral is "long non-coding RNA (MESC_LNC013122)". The record is from RNAcentral. Lineage: Eukaryota; Viridiplantae; Streptophyta; Magnoliopsida; Malpighiales; Euphorbiaceae.